This 253-nucleotide ribosomal RNA is filed under the name uncultured bacterium. Its description in RNAcentral is "partial 16S ribosomal RNA". It matches the Rfam family "Bacterial small subunit ribosomal RNA", at positions 524 to 776 of the family's 1533-position model. The record is from RNAcentral.
UACAGAGGUCUCAAGCGUUGUUCGGAUUCAUUGGGCGUAAAGGGUGUGUAGGUGGCGCGCUAAGUCGGGUGUGAAAUUUCGGAGCUUAACUCCGAAACUGCAUUCGAUACUGGCGUGCUUGAGGACUGGAGAGGAGACUGGAAUUCAUGGUGUAGCAGUGAAAUGCGUAGAGAUCAUGAGGAAGACCAGUGGCGAAGGCGGGUCUCUGGACAGUUCCUGACACUGAGACACGAAAGCCAGGGGAGCGAACGGG